CUUGAGGGAGCCAAGUUACCAGUGGAUCUUUCCCUGGAGCAGUGAGGAGCCCACACAGAGGGCAAAAGAACCAGGCUAGAGGCUAAACUUCCAGAAACAUCCUAUGACUAUUCCGUCAGACUAGUCUGAUGGGGAUGUGCUGCCGCCACCAUGCACUUGCCGCUGUAAUCUGUUCUGCUGCGAAGUCUACACCAGGAACUAGACUUGCUCCUUGACCAAAAUCUAAGUCCAGUGCCAAGCACAUGAGUGGUGAGGAAGAGGACAGCUGUGGCUUCGGUCAUCACAGUCAGAUGGCUUUGUCCUCUGAGCUUCUUUCCAUCCCAGCACCUCCACAUGGCAACAUGGAAUCACUGAGAAAUCUCCUCCCCAGCGAACCGCAAACGUUCAACGGCUUUCUGCUCCUUGCUUCUAUCAAGCCAUGCCCUCGACACCUGAAAGGAAGAUGAACUACCUGCUAACAAUGCACUUUUGGAAUCCAGUUCUGCUACCAGGGAAGCAACCAGUUGCCCCGAGAUUCCACCAGGAGAAAACAAGCCUGCAAUUCCAAUUAAACACCGUAUUGAGUA
This is a long non-coding RNA of Odocoileus virginianus texanus, 566 nucleotides long. RefSeq lists it as uncharacterized. The record is from RefSeq and is a predicted model, not a curated record. NCBI's taxonomy places the organism in Eukaryota, Metazoa, Chordata, Mammalia, Artiodactyla, Cervidae.